ACCCUGGGAUCAUGACCCAAGCCAAAGCCAGAGGCUUUAACCCACUGAGCCACCGGAAGUGAGGCAUCUUUAUAGUGAAUAGGAAUUUUCCAGAACUAUUAAAAGGUAUCCAUACGUACAAGCAGUUUAAAAAGAGAAGGCUAUACUUAGACCUAUAGGAGUAAGACUGCAGCAGCCUCAAGUGAUUUUUUUAAAUAACCAGAGAGAAUGAAAUGUGUAAAACUGAUGAAUCACAGACCUGUACCCCUGAAACAAAUAAUACAUUAUAUGUUAAUUUAAAAAAAUAAAAAAUAUUCCUGUUCUAUGGAAAUAAGUAAAUGACCAACCAGAGAGAGAAAAAAAA
Molecule: long non-coding RNA, 343 nt
Organism: Mustela erminea (ermine)
Lineage: Eukaryota; Metazoa; Chordata; Mammalia; Carnivora; Mustelidae
Exons: 2
Source: RefSeq, a predicted model, not a curated record